Molecule: long non-coding RNA, 199 nt
Filed under: Ananas comosus (pineapple)
Lineage: Eukaryota; Viridiplantae; Streptophyta; Magnoliopsida; Poales; Bromeliaceae
Description: long non-coding RNA (ACOM_LNC036628)
Source: RNAcentral
CCGGUCAGUGGAAAUACAGUAGAAAUAAUAAUAAACGAAAGAGAUGUAUAAGGUAAUGAGCAGAUAUUCCGAAUAAAGUAGCAAUAAACUGAAAGAAAGUAAGAACUAGACUGAAUAACGGCUACCGCUACUGUAACUGGAACAGAAAGCAUACAUGAAUAUCUACUAUAGUAGCAAGACAACUAUAAAGCAAGAACUG